UGAAGAAGCAGCACAGCAUGGACUACUAGAUGAUGGGGUUGCUUCUCCACGACAUCGAGGGUAGAGAAGUGGUUUGGGUUUCGGAUCCGAAACUCGCCAAUGCCUUCUUCGUCCCGUUCUUCUCUUUGCUCAAUUUCAACACGCACGACUACAACACAAAGGAUUCCACCACGGAAACGGAUCGCCAAUUGCAGUUUUUGUAAUAUUUACCAAUAGGAGUUUGAAGCAAACAAUAGGGAAUCUCACUCUGAGAAACAAAACGACAUCACAGGAUACGAAAUACUGGGAGUAUUUCUGUUGAUUCAACCUUGUAUAAUAGCUGCUGAAGGUCUCCGCCGAAGAAAUUUUACGUCAAUUGCUGGUUCAGUUCCUCAAGCAUCCUUUGCAUCCCAA
This is a long non-coding RNA of Vigna angularis (adzuki bean), 393 nucleotides long. RefSeq lists it as uncharacterized. The transcript has 3 exons. Lineage: Eukaryota; Viridiplantae; Streptophyta; Magnoliopsida; Fabales; Fabaceae. The record is from RefSeq and is a predicted model, not a curated record.